This 1798-nucleotide unclassified non-coding RNA is filed under the name Acromyrmex echinatior (Panamanian leafcutter ant). Its description in RNAcentral is "probable glutamate--tRNA ligase, mitochondrial, transcript variant X1". Lineage: Eukaryota; Metazoa; Arthropoda; Insecta; Hymenoptera; Formicidae. The record is from RNAcentral.
AAUUCGAAAUCGAAUGGAGUGAGGUUUGGAUUCCAUUAUCGCUAUUCGCAUUGUGUGGCACGAGGCGGCACGACCUUGUUUCCCUGUGACUCGUCGGAGUCGCACACAUCAGUAAAUAUGCAGCGUAGUAUACUCCGCGCGACAAGUCUCCAGUUGUUGCAAAGACGCUUCUUUAAGAAAUACCACGUGAGGGUUAGAUUUGCGCCCAGCCCUACCGGCCACUUGCAUUUAGGAGGAUUGCGCACGGCGUUGUACAAUUAUUUAUUUGCACGUAGCAACAAUGGCACAUUUAUUUUGAGGAUCGAGGACACCGAUCAAACAAGGACAAUUCCUGGAGCAAUAGAAAAAAUCCAGGAUGAUUUGCUAUGGGCAGGGAUUAUAUCUGAUGAAGAUCCUACCAGAGGAGGCCCUGUUAGUCCUUAUAUACAAUCGUCAAGGCUUGAAUUAUAUAAGGAGCAGGUGCUUAAACUCUUGAACAAUGGAUCUGCUUACUAUUGCUUCUGCACAGAGAAAAGACUGGACCUGCUGAGGAAAGAGGCAAUGAAAUGUGGACAAAUACCUAAAUACGAUAACAGAUGCCGACAUUUUACUAAGGAUGAAGUAAAAGAAAUGAUUAAGAAAAACUUGACUUAUUGUAUUAGAUUUAAGUUAUCAUCCACACCAGAAACCUUUCAUGAUCUAGUUUAUGGAGAUGUCUUGCAUGAUAUCACUAAAUCUGAGGGAGAUCCAGUUAUCAUAAAAUCAGAUGGUUAUCCUACUUACCAUUUUGCAAACGUAGUCGAUGAUCACUUUAUGGAGAUAUCUCAUGUCUUACGUGGUGUUGAAUGGCAAGUUUCUACAUCUAAACAUAUUAUGCUUUACAAAGCAUUUGGUUGGAAUCCUCCUAUAUACGGACAUUUACCUUUGAUAAUGAAUGCAGAUGGAUCUAAAUUAUCAAAAAGACAAGGUGACAUAAAAAUCGACUCAUUCCGGAAACAAGGUAUUUUUCCACUAGCAUUAUUGAAUUAUGUGAUAGGAGCUGGUGGUGGUUUUCACAGAGAACAAGACAACCAAGAUCUUUAUUCUUAUGAGGAAUUAAUUAAACAGUUUGAUAUUACAAAAAUAAAACUAAGUUCUGGCAAACUUAUGCCUGAGAAAUUAUUGGAAUUUAAUAAACUGGAAAUGGCGAAUUUACUACGAAAUGAAAAAAAUCAUAAAUUUUUUAUUGAAAAAAUUAAGAAAUUAGUGUUAAAAACUUUCCCCGAAUGGAAAAAUGAUGGAAAUUUGCAAUUAGAUGAUGAUCACAUAAUAACAACAUUUAAAUGGGCACAAAACAGGAUAACGACACUUAAUGAUCUCGUCAAAGAAGAUUUAGCAUUUUUAUGGAUUGUUCCAUCUUCUAUGCCAAAUGUUAAACAAGAUGGAUGUUCAGAUGCGAUUAAACUAUUGAACGCGGAAUUAGUGGAAAUAGAUGCGAGUAAUUACAAGACCGAUUGGAUGGCACCUUAUCUAAAAGAUUUUGCCAAAAAGAACGGAGUACCAUUCGCUGCUUUUAUGAAAACUCUGAGAAGCGUUAUGAGCGGCGUAAAUAUUGGACCACCUGUUGCUGAAAUGAUGGAAAUUUUGGGAAAGGAUAGAACGUUAUUGCGAUUACAGCGUUGUGUUUCUUGAGAACUUAUAUAUGUUGUGUAAUUGCAAAUGGAUUGUACUGUCAAAGAUUGAAAAUGGUAUGUACAGAUUGAUAUAUGUAUCUAAAAGAGACAUGGAAACUCUCCUUACUUUGCAAAACGAAGCAUUUUGAGGACACUGGCAAGUUUCC